CGUUCUUUUUUUUCUCAAUUCAGGAUACACCAGUGCUACAAUGCGCGCAUACAAAGAGAUGCGACCUCGCGAGAGCAAGCGGACCUCAUAAAGUGCGUCGUAGUCCGGAUUGGAGUCUGCAACUCGACUCCAUGAAGUCGGAAUCGCUAGUAAUCGUGGAUCAGAAUGCCACGGUGAAUACGUUCCCGGGCCUUGUACACACCGCCCGUCACACCAUGGGAGUGGGUUGCAAAAGAAGUAGGUAGCUUAACCUUCGGGAGGGCGCUUACCACUUUGUGAUUCAUGACUGGGGUGAAGUCGUAACAAGGUAACCGUAGGGGAACCUGCGGUUGGAUCACCUCCUAAAAGCU
Molecule: ribosomal RNA, 350 nt
Filed under: Salmonella enterica subsp. enterica serovar Typhimurium
Lineage: Bacteria; Pseudomonadati; Pseudomonadota; Gammaproteobacteria; Enterobacterales; Enterobacteriaceae
Description: bacterial SSU rRNA
Rfam family: Bacterial small subunit ribosomal RNA
Source: RNAcentral